RNAcentral lists this ribosomal RNA (253 nucleotides) under uncultured bacterium. RNAcentral describes it as "partial 16S ribosomal RNA". It matches the Rfam family "Bacterial small subunit ribosomal RNA", at positions 524 to 776 of the family's 1533-position model. The record is from RNAcentral.
UACAGAGGUCCCAAGCGUUGUUCGGAUUCAUUGGGCGUAAAGGGUGCGUAGGCGGCGCGGUAAGUCGGGUGUGAAAUCUCGGGGCUUAACUCCGAAACUGCAUUCGAUACUGCCGUGCUUGAGGACUGGAGAGGAGACUGGAAUUCCUGGUGUAGCGGUGGAAUGCGCAGAUAUCAGGAGGAACACCGGUGGCGAAGGCGGGAUCCUGGGCCAGUACUGACGCUGAGGAGCGAAAGCGUGGGGAGCAAACAGG